This 47-nucleotide transfer RNA is filed under the name Ectreposebastes imus (midwater scorpionfish). RNAcentral's name for it is "partial tRNA-Val". Lineage: Eukaryota; Metazoa; Chordata; Actinopteri; Perciformes; Setarchidae. The record is from RNAcentral.
ACACUUCCCUUACACUGAAAAGACACCCGUGCAACUCGGGUCGCCCU